Long non-coding RNA from Salvia miltiorrhiza (redroot sage), 628 nucleotides. RefSeq lists it as uncharacterized. The transcript is spliced from 4 exons. NCBI's taxonomy places the organism in Eukaryota, Viridiplantae, Streptophyta, Magnoliopsida, Lamiales, Lamiaceae. The record is from RefSeq and is a predicted model, not a curated record.
GAUCCAACUUCAUGCUUCCAUUUCACAAACUACUUUCGCAAGGGGGAAUUUAGAUUCAAGAUUUCAGACUCAGCCAAGCUUCAUCAGAUUCAACCUACAGACAUUUCUUAAGGCUUUAUGAACCAAGGGGAUUAGCGCUGCUUUCCCAAGACGAGUUUAUAUGUGAUUAUGAUCUUCAGGCUUUGCCUAACCAGUUAUUAUGCAAUCGAAUUCGGGUCCUGAGCAGUUGAUAGCUAUCCUGCCAGGGCUAGUGUACACCAGUGACCGUGAGUCAUCUAGCGGGUUGGCCGGUCAAGUGACCGUGAGAGGUGGCCACCUCUCCGGCACACAGUUCCAGAUAUGAUAGAUUACAAGAGAACUUAGACUGCAGUCGAACUUUCAGAAUCACAAAUGAAUUUAGUUGAGCAGCUGCCGAUGGUGAUGAAGUGACGAGCGAGACUCUUUUGUCUUAUUAUAUAUUAAUGAACUCUAGGGUUACAUGUCUUCAUACAUGUAAUCAGAACCUUAUUCCGCUGCGUACUCAGAAGUUUUAUGUUAUUUUGGCUAAGUCAGAGUUAUCUGAACUUAUUAGUUAUUUGAGUCUAUACGACUAAACCUCUGUUAUAUUAUAAAUAUCCCUUUUGUUAAA